AAAAAAAAAAAGAGAAAAAAAAGCGGAGAAAAAAAGAGGGGAAAAAAAGGAGGAAAAGAAGAAUGGGCAAACAACUGGUCUUCCUCACUUUCGCCCUUCUCUUCUCUUCCGCU
Molecule: non-coding RNA, 113 nt
Filed under: Palpitomonas bilix
Lineage: Eukaryota
Source: RNAcentral